GGACCUGAAUUACUCCUACGGGAGGCAGCAGUGGGGAAUAUUGCACAAUGGGGGAAACCCUGAUGCAGCCAUGCCGCGUGUAUGAAGAAGGCCUUAGGGUUGUAAAGUACUUUCGGUGAUGAGGAAGUUAUGUGUGGGAUAAGCACAUAUAAUUGACGUUAGUUACAGAAGAAGCACCGGCUAACUCCGUGCCAGCAGCCGCGGUAAUAAU
Molecule: ribosomal RNA, 211 nt
Filed under: uncultured bacterium
Lineage: Bacteria
Description: partial 16S ribosomal RNA
Rfam family: Bacterial small subunit ribosomal RNA
Source: RNAcentral